ACUGCUCAGUAACACGUGGACAACCUACCCUUAGGUCGGGGAUAAACCCGGGAAACUGGGUAUAAUACCGGAUAGGUCUCGAAUGCUGGAAUGCAUCGAGGCUGAAAGCUCCGGCGCCUAAGGAUGGGUCUGCGGCCUAUCAGGGUAGUAGUGGGUGUAAUGUACCUACUAGCCUACGACGGGUACGGGUCGUGAGAGCGAGAGCCCGGAGAUGGAUUCUGAGACACGAAUCCAGGCCCUACGGGGUGCAGCAGGCGCGAAAACUUUACAAUGCUGGAAACAGCGAUAGGGGGACUUUGAGUGCCAGGAUACAAUUCUGGCUGUCGUCGUGCCUAAAAAGCACGGCAUAGCAAGGGCCGGGCAAGACCGGUGCCAGCCGCCGCGGUAACACCGGCGGCUCGAGUGGUAACCGCUAUUAUUGGGUCUAAAGGGUCUGUAGCCGGCUGAAAAAGUCUCUUGGGAAAUCCGGCAGCUUAACUGUCGGGCUUUCAGGAGAUACUCUUCGGCUCGAGACCGGGAGAGGUGAGAGGUACUUCAUGGGUAGGGGUGAAAUCUUGUAAUCCUUGAAGGACCACCAGUGGCGAAGGCGUCUCACCAGAACGGAUCUGACGGCAAGGGACGAAAGCUAGGGGCACGAACCGGAUUAGAUACCCGGGUAGUCCUAGCCGUAAACGAUACUCGCUAGGUGUCGGCCACGGUGCGACCGUGGUCGGUGCCGUAGGGAAGCCGUGAAGCGAGCCACCUGGGAAGUACGGCCGCAAGGCUGAAACUUAAAGGAAUUGGCGGGGGAGCA
Molecule: ribosomal RNA, 793 nt
Filed under: uncultured archaeon
Lineage: Archaea
Description: bacterial SSU rRNA
Rfam family: Archaeal small subunit ribosomal RNA
Source: RNAcentral